GACGAACGCUGGCGGCGUGCUUAACACAUGCAAGUCGAGCGAUGAACCUUUCAUGAAUUUUUCGGAAUGAUUGGAAGAGGAUUAGCGGCGGACGGGUGAGUAACGCGUGAGCAACCUGCCUUAAACAACGGGAUAGCCUCGGGAAACCGGGAUUAAUACCGUAUGAGACCCCGCCUUCACAUGAAGAAGAGGUUAAAGAUUUAUCGGUUUAAGAUGGGCUCGCGUCUGAUUAGCUAGUUGGUGAGAUAAAAGCCCACCAAGGCAACGAUCAGUAACCGGCUUGAGAGAGUGAACGGUCACAUUGGAACUGAGACACGGUCCAAACUGCUACGGGAGGCAGCAGUGGGGAAUAUUGCACAAUGGGGGAAACCCUGAUGCAGCGACGCCGCGUGAGCGAUGAAGGAAUUCGUUUCGUAAAGCUCUGUCCAAGGGGAAGAUAAUGACAGUACCCUUGGAGGAAGCCCCGGCUAAAUACGUGCCAGCCGCCGCGGUAA
Molecule: ribosomal RNA, 494 nt
Filed under: uncultured bacterium
Lineage: Bacteria
Description: partial 16S ribosomal RNA
Rfam family: Bacterial small subunit ribosomal RNA
Source: RNAcentral